RNAcentral lists this ribosomal RNA (253 nucleotides) under uncultured bacterium. RNAcentral's name for it is "partial 16S ribosomal RNA". It matches the Rfam family "Bacterial small subunit ribosomal RNA", at positions 524 to 776 of the family's 1533-position model. The record is from RNAcentral.
UACGUAGGUGGCGAGCGUUGUCCGGAUUUACUGGGCGUAAAGAGCGCGCAGGCGGUCGUUCAAGUCGGAUGUGAAAGCCCCCGGCUCAACUGGGGAGGGCCAUUCGAUACUGAUCGACUCGAAGGCAGGAGAGGGAAGCGGAAUUCCCGGUGUAGUGGUGAAAUGCGUAGAUAUCGGGAGGAACACCAGUGGCGAAGGCGGCUUCCUGGCCUGUUCUUGACGCUGAGGCGCGAAAGCUAGGGGAGCAAACGGG